Acinonyx jubatus (cheetah) is the source of this 3776-nucleotide long non-coding RNA. RefSeq lists it as uncharacterized. The record is from RefSeq and is a predicted model, not a curated record. Lineage: Eukaryota; Metazoa; Chordata; Mammalia; Carnivora; Felidae. The transcript has 4 exons.
UUUUUUUCAUCGUAGUGUGACCAUUAUGAUGUAAAAGUGUAUUUCUUCUUCAUUUCUUCAAGACUCGAGAUUUCCCCUCCUGUCUCCUUUUUCCUCACCAUCAGAUCUGUAAGGAACACCACUGCUUCUCCGUGUGUCUGAUUCUCCUCCAGAAACAAGGCUUCUCUCAUGAGUGUUCUUUCACUCACAUUAAAGACCCUACAGGGAAUCAGUACCACAUACAUGCGCCUUCUAGAGAAUUCUUUUGAAGGAUGAGCCUUUUCCAGCAAGGGAUAGGUGGGGAAAACUUCAGCAAAAGCACUGAUGGUGAAAAUUUAAUGUAUACACUUGUAUAGCUAACACCAAAGCAAAGUUGGGAAUGUGAUCAAAUAAUAGAAUGUAAACAUGUGUUCUGGCCAAGCAGGAAGAGUGUAACUAAAAAACAGUGGAAGAAGGGAGGAAGAAGGGACCACCAUCUCAUUCAUUGUUCAUUCUCUCGUAUUAUUCAUUAAAUCAAUGAUAUUGACAAAUAUUGGGUAUGAGUCGUAUCACACCACUUAAAAUGGACGAAACAAUAAAAAGUGAAGAAAAAGAGAAAUCAAAGGUAUUAAAAAAGACAUAAGUCUAGAAGUAUCCAAAUGUUCCUGCAUGAAAACAACAUGGCCAAAUAUCUUGACCCAGUAAUAUGGCUGCUACAGAUGGAAUGUUUGUGUCUGUCCAGAAUUUGUAUGUUGAAGACUCUUUCCUCGGUAUUGGGAAAUGGGACCUUGGGAAGUGAUUGGGUCACGGGGUAGAGCCCUCAUGAAUGAGAUUCAUGCCCUUAGAAGAGAGGCUCCGGAAAGCUCCCUCCUCCCCUCCAUUAUGUGAGGACACAGCAAAAAACAGCCAUUCCAUGCCUUUAUCUCAGACUUCCCACCUCCGGAACUGUGAGAAAUAAAUUUCUGUUGUUUAUAAGCCACCCAGUCUAUGGUAUUCUUGGUUUAGCAGCCUGAAUGGACUAAAACAAUGGCUCUGGAAAUUGCUCAGUUCAGUGAUUUGAAGGAGAGGAUAAGGAAAUGUUCACACACCCGACUCUGGGGAGGGCAAAGUGUGUGUCUAGAAAGAAAACAGUGCUUUGUCUCACUGCUUCGACUUGUUUCUAGUUGUGGGAUUUCAUCUGUUUUGAAUUUUAUAAACAUUUCAAUAAUGUAUGAGAUUUUUGGGAUGAUGAAAAGAGAAAAUGGGUUCAAAAGGGUUAAGAAACAGUAAUCUAAGCAAGUUUCCAUAUUUGGAGGAUAAGUGCAAGCACCUGAAAUCGAGUCUCUUCAUACAGACCUGAAAUUCAACAGGAGCACAAGAGUACCACCCGUAGCCCAUGACGUCAGCAUGAGAAGAGACAGAAUACCCCAAACUUCAAAUUACCAACAAGGAGAGAAAUGAAGGCUGUAUCCCAAGAGAGCUCCUAUCACUUGUCACUAUAAGCUGGGUCAGCACGUGGGCAGCUUAACAUACACCAGGCUUUCAGACACCUGUGUCUCAGGAUUGGUGACUCCUUUAAGUCUCCAGAUCUCCUGAAGGGGUGUCUGUUGUGCGUGCUCAGGUGGACCACUCAGUGUGCCCGUCAGCUGUGCCCUGCGGUCUGUGCUGUGGCCUGUGAGAUGGAUGGCAUCAUCACAUUGCCACUCAGCAAGGUCAGUGGCAAACAUGGGAAACUACAGGGUGGUCGUACGUGAAAUACGUGCAGAAAACAAAAGCUGAGCGUGGCUUCCGUAGCACAAAUACAAAAUGCCCCGAAUGCUUUUCCCGCUUUUCCCGCAUGUGGUUUUGUCGUUUGCUGUAUGGUCUGAAUCCACAACUUUUCAUUCUGAUAUUUAGUAAUUCCUUUUUUUGUUUGUUUGUUUGAUAAAUAAACAAUGUGGGGAACAAUAUACUUUUUAAAAAAGUACGUGCUUAGUGAAAAAAAUUAUUACUAUCUUUUUGAUUCUUGGGGAAGUUAUAAUGAACAUGUAAUUUACACUAAAUUUUUGUGACGUCACCAUCCAGCCAGGGACUGGCCACAAGAAAACCUGUGGACAAAAUCUACUAAAGGACUGUCAGCAUCUAUUUCAGAAGUUAGUGGUUAUUUUAAGAAGAUUGUAGGGGCGCCUGGGUGGCUCAGUCGGUUAAGCGUCCAACAUCAUCAGCUCAGGUGAUGAUCUCGCGGUUUGUGAGUUUGAGCCCCGCGUCAAGCUCUGUGCUGACAGCUUGGGAGCCUGGAUCCUGCUUCAGAUUCUGUAUCCCCCCCACCCCGCCCCUUCUCUGCUUGUACUCUCUCUUUCCCUCCCUGAAAAGUAAAUAAACAUUAGAAAAAAUUUUUUAAAAAGAUCAUACUUGAAGUUGGCUAUUUAACAUAAGUGGAUACCAAAAAUGUAUUUAUGUAUCACGGUGAAGCAGUGCUGACGUUGUAUUUAGAUCAAAUGUCUGUUUUUCUUUUUUCUCUUUAAAAAAUUUUUAACGUUUAUUCAUUUUUGAGAGACAGAGAGAGACGGAGUGCUGGCAGGGGUGGAGCAGAGGCAGAGGGAGGCACAGAAUCCGAAGCAGCUCCAGGCUCUGAGCUGUCGGCACAGAGCCCGACGUGGGGCUUGAAUUCACUGACGGGACCACGAGAUCAUGACCUGAGCUGAAGUUGGAGGCUUACCGGACUGAACCACCCAGAUUGGUUUUCCCUCCAAACUGUGCUUUGAAUUCUGUUAUCUCCAAGGUUGGAGCUGGAGCGGGAGUUGGGAUUACAGAAAGUGUGGAGGAAGGCACAACUUUGUAGCUGGUGGAUACGGUGUCAGCUCUGUGGGCUCAAUAGAAUUCUCAAGGCCUUGCACCAAGAACAAAGGUCGGAAAGAGAAGUUUGUUCACAGUUCCUGACUGAACGGGGAGAAGACAUUUAAUGGAAACAUGAACCUCAUGCCUGGGUCUCCUGGAACUUGUAGCUGAACCUAGGAGUUUGUGGCCAAGCCUACCAACCACAUCCCCCAACGAUGUCUUCUCUUUUGGCACGUUGGUCAUGGAGUUGGGAGAGGACAGCACCCAGUCCAUUCUUAUCUUUAAAGAGAGAAGAAACAGCGAAGUCUGUGACAUUCAGGUUUCUGUGCCCUCUCUCCUCUCACUGGUCAUCUUGCCCAGCUCAGCAGACUGUGCAUACCCAGCUCACUAACCAGAGAGAACUGGCUAGCUCAGGCAGCUGGUGAGUCAAGAGUGUGCUCAAGUGUGGUUGUCAAGAGUGGUACAGCCGAUCUCCCACAUCUUAGCCUUUUCUGAGCUCCUGAGCCCUGCGGUAGCAUCUGGGCGGCACAAACGGGCGUGCAGCCAGGAAUCAGUCGGUGGGAACAUGACAUGCGCAGUUCUGCGGUGACCACACUCUGUAGCUUUCUGUCCUUUGUCCUUUCAAUAAACAUAGAUGGAGCAUCUACUAUAUAUUGGGCACUAGGGAUUCUUGGGGGAUACAGGUAUGAAUGUAACAUGAUCCUUGACCCAAGGAACUUCUAGUUUUCAUGGGAAACAAGCAUAUAAAUGAAACCUUCCAACAGACCCCUAAGAUAUAAGCCAUAAUUCCUAGCCUGUGCUACUGACGGUGGUAGGAGUUGGGAUAGAGAUCCUACUAGAAGUCACAGAUUUGCAUUGCUCUGACUCCCACCCACAGAAGUCUAGGCAUUUCUCGGGUCUUCCAUAAGGUUAUGAAGACCUCUUGGCUGCCACAGUGCAACACAGGUCUUCUUCCUCUGUCUGCCCAUGCUCACUGUGGUCAGCUGUCCUGGAUCCGGUGACAUGUAGAUAUGAAUGCCCGC